CUACGGGAGGCUGCAGUGGGGAAUAUUGGGCAAUGGGCGCAAGCCUGACCCAGCAACGCCGCGUGAGGGAAGAAUGUCUUCGGAUUGUAAACCUCUGUCCUUGGGGACGAAAAAAAUGACGGUACCCAAGGAGGAAGCUCCGACUAACUACGUGCCAGCAGCCGCGGUAAUACGUAGGGAGCAAGCGUUGUCCGGAAUUAUUGGGCGUAAAGGGUGCGUAGGCGGCGCUGUAAGUCAGAUGUGAAAUCCCCGGGCUUAACUCGGGAGUUGCAUUUGAAACUACAGUGCUUGAGUAAAGAAGGGGUAAGUGGAAUUCCUAGUGUAGCGGUGGAAUGCGUAGAUAUUAGGAGGAACACCAGUGGCGAAGGCGACUUACUGGUCUUUUACUGACGCUGAGGCACGAAAGCGUGGGGAGCAAACAGGAUUAGAUACCCCCGUAGUC
Molecule: ribosomal RNA, 442 nt
Filed under: uncultured bacterium
Lineage: Bacteria
Description: partial 16S ribosomal RNA
Rfam family: Bacterial small subunit ribosomal RNA
Source: RNAcentral